GUUUUUUGAUUUGUGGAGUUUUAUUCUUUUUAUUACUUCCUUUUAUAUCUUUCUUUUUCCUUUUAUCUUUUUUUUAUCUUUUUUCCUUUUUCUCUCUUAUCUUUUAAUUCAUUUUCUUUCUUUUCUUUUGUUUUAAUUUCUUUUUCUUUUCUCUCUUUAUUUUCUUUAUUAGCCUUUAGUAUAAAUAGUGUUAGCUCUUUUAAUUUUGGGGGAACCAACUUGAUUACCAUGUACAUAUUUAGUUUUAGUUCCUCUUUUUCUAGGGUUUUAGAGAAGGUUAGCCUCAACAAUUAGUUUAUGGAGAGAAAAUUAGGGAAAUCGAUUAUGAAAUUGGGGAUUUUGAUAAUCAAGGGUGACAAUUUGGUUUGAAGAUUCAAUCAACAAUCAAUGAGAAUUUCUUAAUCUCUCUCCUCAUUUAUUUCUUUAUUUAUUGUUUCAUUUAUUGCUUUUCACUAGAGGAAAAAUUGCCAUGUGCUUCCCUUCAAGUGCGGCUCAUUUGAUAAAUUGGCAGCACUUGAGAGAACAAAAAAAAAAAAAAGUAUUUUCACAAAAGCGGGCUCAUUUUAGAAAAUUGGCAGCACUUGAGUUCAAGUGCGGGCUAUUUUAUGAAAGAGCCGCACAAAAUAAUGAAAUAUUUCCAAAUCAAGUACUGCCAAUUUUAUGAAAGAGCCGCACAAAAUAAUGAAAUAUUUCAAAAAAAAUUCAUUUCCCCUUCUUUCUCCUUCCUCUCCUCUAGUUCAACCUAACUCAUCUCUGGUUCUCUCUCUUCCCAUCUCUGGUUUCUCUCCUUCACCUCUCUGGUUCUUCUCUGGGCGCGAAUUUAAAACUUCCUGCACACACCGCACUGUUGUUCCCCCACCGCCGCAUCGCCGCAGAUGUUCCCCCACCGCUCACCGAUGUUGUUCCCCCACUGUUGCGUCUCUGCUGUUCCACACCGCCGCGUCGCUCCUCCUUGUACCUUAGGAGCUCAGGAACAAUACUGCUUCCACUAUGAAACCUAAUGAUUCUCUUCUUAGAUUCGGCUCCAGUAAUGCUGAGGUUAUCUAAGUUUUGGAUGUUCAACACCCUUCCUUUCCUUGGGUUCAUCUUACAUGUAUACUUCCUUGGCUGUUUGAAAGGCCACUGCCAUAUCCGUGGGUGAAGAGAUCUCCACUCUUGGACUUCCCUCUGGCAUUUGUCCUCUUGUUUUUGUCUUUACUGGAGCAGGAAAUGUUUCGCAAGGUGCACAAGUGAUUUUCAAGCUUCUUCCUCAUACUUUUGUGGAUCCUAGCAGACUCCCGGAGUUGUUUGAAAUAGUAUUCAAUAAUCCGAGGAAGCGGCCUUUCAACUUUGAGGAGAUAGAUGAAGUUCGAGAAAUGUUGGCAAACUUCAUUACCAGAGAUUUUCUUUGAUAUUUUCUUGUACUAAAUCUUAAAUUAUGGAUUCUAGCUAGUUUUUCAUAUGAUUGUAAUGUAAUCGACUUUUAUAUUUACAAUUAUAUACUAUUUAAUUUAAUUAUCUAUAUAAUUGGAUACUUUUUAUAUGA
Molecule: long non-coding RNA, 1525 nt
Organism: Spinacia oleracea (spinach)
Lineage: Eukaryota; Viridiplantae; Streptophyta; Magnoliopsida; Caryophyllales; Amaranthaceae
Exons: 4
Source: RefSeq, a predicted model, not a curated record